UGGGGAAUAUUGGACAAUGGGCGGAAGCCUGAUCCAGCCAUGCCGCGUGUGUGAAGAAGGCCUUUUGGUUGUAAAGCACUUUAAGCGAGGAGGAGGCUACUUGGAUUAAUACUCAAGGAUAGUGGACGUUACUCGCAGAAUAAGCACCGGCUAACUCUGUGCCAGCAGCCGCGGUAAUACAGAGGGUGAGCGCGUUAAUCGGAUUUACUGGGCGUAAAGCGUGCGUAGGCGGCUUCUUAAGUCGGAUGUGAAAUCCCUGAGCUUAACUUAGGAAUUGCAUUCGGUACUGGGAUGCUAGCGUAUGGGAGAGGCUGGUAGAAUUCCAGGUGUAGCGGUGAAAUGCGUAGAGAUCUGGAGGAAUACCGAUGGCGAAGGCAGCCAUCUGGCCUAAUACUGACGCUGAGGUACGAAAGCAUGGGGAGCAAACAGG
Molecule: ribosomal RNA, 430 nt
Filed under: bacterium
Lineage: Bacteria
Description: partial 16S ribosomal RNA
Rfam family: Bacterial small subunit ribosomal RNA
Source: RNAcentral